RNAcentral lists this ribosomal RNA (253 nucleotides) under uncultured bacterium. Its description in RNAcentral is "partial 16S ribosomal RNA". It matches the Rfam family "Bacterial small subunit ribosomal RNA", at positions 524 to 776 of the family's 1533-position model. The record is from RNAcentral.
GACAGAGGGGGCAAGCGUUGCUCGGAAUUACUGGGCGUAAAGGGCUCGUAGGCGGCCAACUAAGUCGGAUGUGAAAUCCCCAGGCUUAACCUGGGAACUGCAUCUGAUACUGGAUGGCUUGAAUCCGGGAGAGGGAUGCAGAAUUCCAGGUGUAGCGGUGAAAUGCGUAGAUAUCUGGAGGAAUACCGGUGGCGAAGGCGGCAUCCUGGACCGGCAUUGACGCUGAUGAGCGAAAGCUAGGGGAGCAAACGGG